RNAcentral lists this ribosomal RNA (433 nucleotides) under uncultured bacterium. RNAcentral describes it as "partial 16S ribosomal RNA". It matches the Rfam family "Bacterial small subunit ribosomal RNA", at positions 29 to 507 of the family's 1533-position model. The record is from RNAcentral.
AACGAACGCUGGCGGCAUGCCUAAUACAUGCAAGUCGAACGAGAUCUUAGGAUCUAGUGGCUCACGGGUGCGUAACGCGUGGGAAUGUGCCGUUGGGUUUGGAAUAAUUUUUGUAAAUGGAAGCUAAUACCGGAAGAUUACGGAAGAUAAAAGAUCUAUCGCCCAAGGAUGAGCCGGGGUAGUAUUAGGUAGUUGGGGAUGUAAAGGCUCAUCAAGCCGACGAUACUUAGCUGGUCUGAGAGGAUGAUCAGCCACACUGAGACUGAGACACGGCCCAGACUCUUACGCGAGGCAGCAAUAGCUAAUAUUGGACAAUCGCCUAAAGCCUGAUCCACCAAUGCCGCUUGAGUCAUUAAGUCCUUAAAGUUAUAAAGCUCUUUUACCCCCCAUGAUAAUGACAGUACCCAAAGAAUAAGCUCCGGCUAACUUCGUG